CCUACGGGUGGCAGCAGUGGGGAAUAUUGCACAAUGGGCGAAACCCUGAUGCAGCGACGCCGCGUGAGGGAAGAAGGAAUUCGGUAUGUAAACCUCUGUCAGCAGGGAAGAAAAUGACGGUACCUGAGUAAGAAGCCCCGGCUAACUACGGGCCAGCCGCCGCGGGAAUACGGAGGGGGCAAGCGUUAUCCGGGUUUACUGGGUGUAAAGGGAGCGUAGACGGCAGUGCAAGUCUGGUGUGAAAGGCGGGGGCUUAACCCCCGGACUGCUAUGGAAACUGUACGGCUGGAGUGCAGGAGAGGUAAGUGGAAUUCCGAGUGUAGCGGUGAAAUGCGUAGAUAUUAGGAGGAACACCAGUGGCGAAGGCGGCUUACUGGACUGUAACUGACGCUGAGGCUCGAAAGCGUGGGGAGCAAACAGGAUUAGAUACCCUGGUAGUC
RNAcentral lists this ribosomal RNA (440 nucleotides) under uncultured bacterium. RNAcentral describes it as "partial 16S ribosomal RNA". It matches the Rfam family "Bacterial small subunit ribosomal RNA", at positions 338 to 795 of the family's 1533-position model. The record is from RNAcentral.